Non-coding RNA from Petromyzon marinus (sea lamprey), 578 nucleotides. The record is from RefSeq and is a predicted model, not a curated record. Lineage: Eukaryota; Metazoa; Chordata; Hyperoartia; Petromyzontiformes; Petromyzontidae.
UCUCAUGGCCAGGUAUAAACACUUGGGGAGAUACCUGGCCAAGAUAGACAGAGAGAGAGAGGGCGGCAGAGUGCAGGCGCAGGGUGGGGACGUGCGCUCUGGACAGAUGCACAAUGCACGUGUGUCCCUUGGACUUCAAUUCGCACCGCACGUAGCCAGCCGUGGCGACGCAGACGCGCCGAGUUCACUUCGCCUGGCCGCGGGAGGCGGCCCUUUGACCACCGCGAGCGCCUUAAAGAGCGGAGCCCUGACACCUGCCGCUCCGUGCCCGCACUGGCAAGAAGAUGCCUCUCCACCCUAGCAAGAUCGUCCUCCCUCUGUGAAGAGGAGGGGGAGGUGUGGUAAUUCCUGGCCGGGCUGUACGGCGGAAGAGGCCGAGGAGGGUGGCGGAGGAGGUUCGUGGUCGUCGAGAAGAGGGUUCGGUUGGCAGCCGCGACGGGCCGGCGUGAAUCUGCCGUGGAGAUGAGGAAGGAGGGAGAGAAAGGCGACAAGAUGAAAGGCACCCGGCUGGAUGACAACUCAUCCAAGAAGCGGGGAGACCCCGCAUCACGACACGUGGACCGGCGACCUCACGAGGU